GACGAACGCUGGCGGCGUGCCUAAUACAUGCAAGUCGAACGCAGUGGGGACGGGUGAGUAACACGUGGGUAACCUCCCCUCAGAGGGGAUAACACUUGGAAACAGGUGCUAAACCGAUACGGAUGUAUGGACCCGCGGUGCAUUAGCUAGUGGGUGAGGUAACGGCUCACCAAGGCCACGAUGCAUAGCCGACUGGAGAGGGUGACUGGGCACACUGGGACUGAGACACGGACCAGACUCCGACGGGAGGCAGCAGUAGGGAAUCUUCGGAAAGUGACGAAAGUCUGACCGAGAAAAGCCGUGUGAGUGAAGAAGGUUUUCGGAUCGUAAAACUCUGUUGUUAGAGAAGCGGUAUCUAACCAGAAAGCCACGGCGAACUACGUGCCAGCAGCCGCGGUAAUAC
Molecule: ribosomal RNA, 403 nt
Filed under: uncultured bacterium
Lineage: Bacteria
Description: partial 16S ribosomal RNA
Rfam family: Bacterial small subunit ribosomal RNA
Source: RNAcentral